Molecule: ribosomal RNA, 253 nt
Filed under: Roseburia inulinivorans DSM 16841
Lineage: Bacteria; Bacillati; Bacillota; Clostridia; Lachnospirales; Lachnospiraceae
Description: partial 16S ribosomal RNA
Rfam family: Bacterial small subunit ribosomal RNA
Source: RNAcentral
UACGUAUGGUGCAAGCGUUAUCCGGAUUUACUGGGUGUAAAGGGAGCGCAGGCGGAAGGCUAAGUCUGAUGUGAAAGCCUGGGGCUCAACCCCGGUACUGCAUUGGAAACUGGUCAUCUAGAGUGUCGGAGGGGUAAGUGGAAUUCCUAGUGUAGCGGUGAAAUGCGUAGAUAUUAGGAGGAACACCAGUGGCGAAGGCGGCUUACUGGACGAUAACUGACGCUGAGGCUCGAAAGCGUGGGGAGCAAACAGG